RNAcentral lists this ribosomal RNA (403 nucleotides) under uncultured bacterium. RNAcentral describes it as "partial 16S ribosomal RNA". It matches the Rfam family "Bacterial small subunit ribosomal RNA", at positions 30 to 526 of the family's 1533-position model. The record is from RNAcentral.
AUUGAACGCUGGCGGCAGGCCUAACACAUGCAAGUCGAGCGAGCGGCGGACGGGUGAGUAAUGUAUGGGGACUGCCCGAUAGAGGGGGAUAACUACUGGAAACGGUGGCUAAUACCGCAUACUAUCGGAUAACCCAUAUGGGAUUAGCUAGUUGGUGGGGUAAAGGCUCACCUAGGCGACGAUCCCUAGCUGGUCUGCGAGGAUGAUCGGCCACACUGGGACUGAGACACGGCCCGGACUCCUACGGAGUCAGCAGAGGGGAAUAUUGGACAAUGGGCGAAGGCCUGAAGCAGCCAUGCCGCGUGUAUGAAGAGGGCCUUAGGGUUGUAAGGUACUUUCAGCGGGGAGGCGUUACCCGCAGAAGAAGCACCGGCUAACUCCGUGCCAGCAGCCGCGGUAAUAC